Molecule: ribosomal RNA, 300 nt
Filed under: Sphingopyxis bauzanensis
Lineage: Bacteria; Pseudomonadati; Pseudomonadota; Alphaproteobacteria; Sphingomonadales; Sphingopyxidaceae
Description: bacterial SSU rRNA
Rfam family: Bacterial small subunit ribosomal RNA
Source: RNAcentral
ACACACGUGCUACAAUGGCAACUACAGUGGGCAGCAACCGUGCGAGCGGUAGCUAAUCUCCAAAAGUUGUCUCAGUUCGGAUUGUUCUCUGCAACUCGAGAGCAUGAAGGCGGAAUCGCUAGUAAUCGCGGAUCAGCAUGCCGCGGUGAAUACGUUCCCAGGCCUUGUACACACCGCCCGUCACACCAUGGGAGUUGGUUUCACCCGAAGGCAGUGCUCUAACCCGCAAGGGAGGAAGCUGACCACGGUGGGAUCAGCGACUGGGGUGAAGUCGUAACAAGGUAGCCGUAGGGGAACCUG